This 341-nucleotide RNase P RNA is filed under the name uncultured Anaerostipes sp. RNAcentral's name for it is "Bacterial RNase P class A". It matches the Rfam family "Bacterial RNase P class A". Rfam says of the family: Ribonuclease P (RNase P) is a ubiquitous endoribonuclease, found in archaea, bacteria and eukarya as well as chloroplasts and mitochondria. Its best characterised activity is the generation of mature 5'-ends of tRNAs by cleaving the 5'-leader elements of precursor-tRNAs. The record is from RNAcentral. Lineage: Bacteria; Bacillati; Bacillota; Clostridia; Lachnospirales; Lachnospiraceae.
GUUGGACAAAUGGUCGCGCCGUUUCAGACGAAAGGGGAACGGUGAGGAAAGUCCGGGCUUCACAGGGCAGGAUGCCGGAUAACGUCCGGUAGGGGUGACCCUCAAGCUAGUGCAACAGAAAUAAACCGCCGGUAAAAACCGGUAAGGGUGGAAAGGUAAGGUAAGAGCUUACCGCCUGGCUGGUAACAGGCAGGGCAUAUGUAAACCUCAUCCGAAGCAAGACCGAACAGAGAACGAUAAAUUGGCCCGAUUUGUUCUCAGGUGGGUCGCAUGAGCUUGCUGGCAACAGUAAGUCGAGAUAGAUGACCAUUCAACGACAUAACCCGGCUUAUCGUUUAACU